Long non-coding RNA from Aedes albopictus (Asian tiger mosquito), 2209 nucleotides. RefSeq lists it as uncharacterized. The record is from RefSeq and is a predicted model, not a curated record. The transcript is spliced from 2 exons. Lineage: Eukaryota; Metazoa; Arthropoda; Insecta; Diptera; Culicidae.
UCAAGUCACGUUAGAUGUGGUGCUGACUAUUUUACGCGUGUUUUUGAAAAAACGCGGAUUUUUUUUACGACGGUUUUUGAAAUAACGCGGUUUUUUUUUACGACGGGUCUUGAAAUAACGCGGUUUUUUUUAGGACGGACCGCGUAAAAAAAACCGCGUAAAAAAAACUUCAGUGUAUGCUCCAUAUCCAUACUGAGUAAACAAGAGCUACUAGUAAAAAUUUUAUAAAUUUAUUUGGAAUAUACAAAACUUUACGAUUUGAGUGGUCCUAAGGCGACUUGAAAAUCGAUGUUUUCACUAAAAAAAUAUCAUAAUUUUAUGUUUUAAUUUUGAGCGUUCAUUCCGUUUGAUUGAAGUCAUUUAUGAGAUAGUCUUGUAAUAAAAAAUAAAUAACUUUUGAAUGCCCCAAAAAUACGUUUAAAAUUGAAGGUGACCCAUCUUGCCCCGCGGCCGUUUAUAUGGAGAUUAUAUGGAAUGUAUCGCAUAAGAAAAAUGUCUAAUAACCAUUUUAUUUUUAAUUUUCAAUGAGAAUGAAUAAUUUUUCAAUCAAUGCCCCAAACUUUUGUAUAUUCAUGCUGGUCAUCCAACAAAAUUAUUAACAUUAUCAAAACAUGAGUAAUGCGCCCGAAAAUGGCACUGACCCAUCUUGUCCCGCGACCCAUCUUGCCCCGCCCCACCCUACUUAAUAACUAUUUUUAUGGACUUGUUAGCUACAGGGGGUGGUCAAAAUGUUUGGGAUAGGCAACUUUUUUUCUCUCUUGAAAAAAGUUCAACAAGCUGUAACUUUUCAUAGAGUACAUUGAAAAAUCUCAAAUUUUGACUGUUUUUCAACCUAUUGUAUGUGCAUCAUUGGUACAAAUUUGAGCUUGAUUGGUUAAUCUUUCGCGAAGCUAGAAUAAUAAUGAUAAAACACUAUUAGACUACCAAUUUUUGAGCUGUCAUAUCUCGGAAACCAGUGAACCGAUAUGAAUGAAAUUUCAAACGUUUAUCAACAAUGUAUUAAUGCUUUACAAGUUAUUCAAAUAUAUUAGGUACUUUUUCUGCCGUGUUCAGCAUAGUUGUCCCAUGUUACUUUUUGACGAAUUUGACUUUUUAUCAUCAAAUGGUGUAUUUUUGCGUAUACUUUUAGAAUCUACUCUCGGCUAGCAUACUUUGUUCAGACACUCCAUGAAAACAACAUCAAGUCAAUAUGUCUUAUGUUCAGCUUUGUCAUCAUAAGUUGUCCCAUGUUCCAAUUUGCAGCAUCUCCGUCAAUAAUUAUUUUCGGGCCUAAAAAAUUGUAAUUGUAAUUGUAAUUGCUCAGUCCACACCCAGGCCGACAACUGUCAGCCCAUCUGCUUGUGGGCAGAUGUGGACCUACUAAGCCUCCCCCGUUAACAUGUCCUACACCGAAUUAGCACACCGGGAUCUUCCACAGGCAGGCGCUGGCGUUACCAGUCCCAACAAGUGUCAGAUACAUUAAAUAGAUGGGGUAGAGGAUAUAAGAAGAUGUGGGAAGAGGAUGGGGAGAGGCAGAAAAUGAAGAGAUAGUAGAGAGGUUUCGAUUUUGUUGCUGAAACGAGAAAAAGAAAGAAUGAUAAAGAACAUUAGCGAUAUGUUCAUAGAUUUUGAUUUGGUCGAUAAUUUCUCAUCUAUUUUGUUUCCAUAUCGUUGCAUCGGUGACCAUUUUCAUCGCAUUUCUAGUUUUUGUUAGGGCCAGCUCGCGUUUUUUCGUCAUGUCCUCUUUGCCGGUUGGCGACGUUCGGGAUCCCAUUUGUCCGCAGUACAUAUCAGGCAUCCCGUUUUAACAAGUCCUACACAGAAUUAGAAACCCGGAUCUUCCACAGACAGUCCUAACUAGUGUCAGAUAAGUUCAAUUGAGGAUAGGAAGCGGAAAAAUGAGAAGACAGUAGAGAAGGUUUGGUUCAUUGGUAGCUGUGUUCAUGUGAUGUUUGUCUGACAUUUAAAAACUAUUUUCCGUAAGUGUUUAACUCUCCACCCCCAAUUUAAUACCGGAAAAAUAUCUGAUCAGAUGUAUAGUUUGGCAAUUCUUUGUCCACAUUGAAAUGCUUUUGUUAAUACAUCUUUUAUCAAGAAGGAAUAAAGUUGUUUACUGUUAUAAAAUAAUUCAGUUAAAGGACAGCUAAUGUAUUGUAAUCCAGAAUAAACCUACAGAAAAUGUCUCAAUAAAAAGUUAACUCUAGUUCAACUAACUACACAAACUAAAAAG